Molecule: ribosomal RNA, 828 nt
Filed under: uncultured bacterium
Lineage: Bacteria
Description: bacterial SSU rRNA
Rfam family: Bacterial small subunit ribosomal RNA
Source: RNAcentral
CAGGACGAACGCUGGCGGCGUGCCUAACACAUGCAAGUCGAACGGUAAGGCCCUUCGGGGUACACGAGUGGCGAACGGGUGAGUAACACGUGGGUGAUCUGCCCUGCACUUUGGGAUAAGCCUGGGAAACUGGGUCUAAUACCGAAUAUGACUAUGGACUUCACGGUUUGUGGUGGAAAGCUUUUGCGGUGUGGGAUGGGCCCGCGGCCUAUCAGCUUGUUGGUGGGGUAAUGGCCUACCAAGGCGACGACGGGUAGCCGGCCUGAGAGGGUGUCCGGCCACACUGGGACUGAGAUACGGCCCAGACUCCUACGGGAGGCAGCAGUGGGGAAUAUUGCACAAUGGGCGCAAGCCUGAUGCAGCGACGCCGCGUGGGGGAUGACGGCCUUCGGGUUGUAAACCUCUUUCAGCUCUGACGAAGCGCAAGUGACGGUAGGAGCAGAAGAAGGACCGGCCAACUACGUGCCAGCAGCCGCGGUAAUACGUAGGGUCCGAGCGUUGUCCGGAAUUACUGGGCGUAAAGAGCUCGUAGGUGGUUUGUCGCGUUGUUCGUGAAAUCUCACAACUCAAUUGUGAGCGUGCGGGCGAUACGGGCAGACUGGAGUACUGCAGGGGAGACUGGAAUUCCUGGUGUAGCGGUGGAAUGCGCAGAUAUCAGGAGGAACACCGGUGGCGAAGCGGGUCUCUGGGCAGUAACUGACGCUGAGGAGCGAAAGCGUGGGGAGCAAACAGGAUUAGAUACCCUGGUAGUCCACGCCGUAAACGGUGGGUACUAGGUGUGGGUUUCCUUCCUUGGGAUCCGUGCCGUANCUAACGCAUUAAGCGCCC